CUAGAGCACCAUAUGGAUCCAGCUACAUAAAGUGGCUCAUUUUACAUUGGGAAUAAUUUGGAUGCUGUAGGACAUGCAGCAUAAUACCCAACAGCCCAUUGAAGGCCUAGCUCCUCUCCCACAGGGCUGAGCAUUACUUCGAUCAUUCUGCAAAUUAGAAAUAAAUAUAUGUCUUGCCAGAGCUUAAAAUGCUCAUUGACAAUUCCAGAAGAAUCAGAACAGUAAAUUGUUCUUAUCUUAACCCGUGAUCUUUUGAUAACAUCUGAGACUGCUCAGCUUCAACCAUUUCUAUUCCUCUGCAACAGUUUCAGCAACUGUUAGAUGUGAAGGUACACAAACUGGCCCUGGACUUAAAAGAGGGUUGGACAGGACAACUCACUAGUCAGCAUACAUGAUUCUUCUGCUUCUGUGUCAAAUCAACAAAGGCCAUUCGCCUUUACAUCAGAGCUACCUGCUGCAGCUCCCAGUCCCCAGCCAGGACACUGGCCUAAAAUGGGAGACUCCCCAUCAGCAGG
Passer domesticus (house sparrow) is the source of this 515-nucleotide long non-coding RNA. RefSeq lists it as uncharacterized. The transcript is spliced from 3 exons. The record is from RefSeq and is a predicted model, not a curated record. Lineage: Eukaryota; Metazoa; Chordata; Aves; Passeriformes; Passeridae.